CGCCUCCGCGUCGUCCCGGCCUCCGAUGAAGAGCACCGCCACGUUUUUCCAUGUACUGGUCAUCAAGACGGAGCGUCGUCCCUUGCACUCCCCUCGGUCUAUGAAUAUGGCGACCGAACAUGGUGCCGCUUCCAGGACGUUAAGGUUGAUGUUCCUGAUGGGCCCGUUGACUUGUCCGACCGUCCCGUCGAUCGCGUAUUGCUUGUGGAAUGGAAUCACGAUUAGUGUCGCCUUCUUGUCAAGUGCGAGCGUGCAUACGUCGUUGUUUAUACUCGAGAAAGGCGCGGCUGCGGUGAAAUGUUGCGCCAUGAGUGUACCCUGAUGCAUCAUAUGUUUAAGAUAAUAAAUAGGUAUUGUUUCCAAGUUAUAUUUUAUCUAUAACAAAUUUUAGAAUACAGUUUAGAUUUUUUUUUUGAAAAAAAAAAAGUUUAGGUUUGUAUAUCUCUUUACGUUUAUAUUUUAGAAUGUAUAUUUCCCAAAUUUUGUUGAUUAAGUAUAUUAGGCCAAAAAGGUUGUUAGUUGGAAAUGUAAACGCCAAACGCAAAACGAACCAAAUCGUUCACUUAAACGCCAAAUGAAUUAAUAUCUUCAAGUAUAAAAGCAUUUUUGAAAUUUGAAGAAGGUUUUAUAGGAAAAUUUUUAAUUUGUUUUUCUUGUAUACGCAGACAAAAUAAAAGAAAAAAAUAAUGUUUAUAAUUUACCUGAUACUUUUGCUCAAACCGUUGGAAGGCACUGACAAUGUAUGUGGACUGGGCCGUGUUUGGGUCAAGUUUGUUCAUCUGGUGGUGUGGCGUGAGGACUGCGUGAGAUCGGCCUUUAAGCUCCACAAGGUGCAGCGUGAAGAAUGAGAUGGGAUUAAAUCUUGUCGGGUACGUAGCUUCUAAAAGGUUCACCAUGGAAGGAACGUUUUCGACGUUGUACAUGCAAAGAAGAAGACGGAGCUGAAGAUUGCGUUCCCUCGUGUUGAGGAUCGUUCGUUUGCUUCUGCAUUUGUAGCGUUUCGAUGGAUCGUAGAGGUACACCACGAGGUACCGCGAAAUUCCGGUUACAAGUAAAAGCGUAACUAUCACUAGAUUAAAGCAUUCUGUAUCAACAACCUGUCGGUCUAUGAAUAUGGCGACCGAACAUGGUGCCGCUUCAAGGACGUUAAGGUUGAUGUUCCUGAUGGGCCCGUUGACUUGUCCGACCGUCCCGUCGAUCGCGUAUUGCUUGUGGAAUGGAAUCACGAUUAGUGUCGCCUUCUUGUCAAGUGCGAGCGUGCAUACGUCAUUGUUUAUACUCGAGAAAGGCGCGGCUGCGGUGAAAUGUUGCGCCAUGA
This 1318-nucleotide long non-coding RNA is filed under the name Brassica napus (rape). RNAcentral's name for it is "long non-coding RNA (BNAP_LNC010701)". Lineage: Eukaryota; Viridiplantae; Streptophyta; Magnoliopsida; Brassicales; Brassicaceae. The record is from RNAcentral.